Molecule: ribosomal RNA, 253 nt
Filed under: uncultured bacterium
Lineage: Bacteria
Description: partial 16S ribosomal RNA
Rfam family: Bacterial small subunit ribosomal RNA
Source: RNAcentral
UACGAAGGGUGCAAACGUUGCUCGGAAUUAUUGGGCGUAAAGCGCACGUAGGCGGCUUUGCAAGUCGGAUGUGAAAUCCCACGGCUCAACCAUGGAAGUGCAUCCGAAACUGCAGAGCUUGAGUACUUAAGAGGAUCGCGGAAUUCCCGGUGUAGCGGUGAAAUGCGCAGAUAUCAGGAGGAACACCGGUGGCGAAGGCGGAUCUCUGGGCCAUUACUGACGCUGAGGAGCGAAAGCGUGGGGAGCGAACAGG